AGAGUUUGAUCCUGGCUCAGGAUGAACGCUGGCGGCGUGCUUAACACAUGCAAGUCGAACGAACCUUCGGGUUAGUGGCGGACGGGUGAGUAACGCGUGGGAAUCUACCCUCAGGAGGGGGAUAACGGUUGGAAACGACCGCUAAUACCCCAUAUGCCGCAAGGUGAAAUGAAUUUCGCCUGAGGAUGAGCCCGCGUCUGAUUAGCUUGUUGGUGAGGUAAUGGCUCACCAAGGCUUCGAUCAGUAGCUGGUCUGAGAGGAUGAUCAGCCACACUGGGACUGAGACACGGCCCAGACUCCUACGGGAGGCAGCAGUGGGGAAUUUUCCGCAAUGGGCGAAAGCCUGACGGAGCAACGCCGCGUGAGGGACGAAGGCCUCUGGGCUGUAAACCUCUUUUCUCAAGGAAGAAGAUAUGACGGUACUUGAGGAAUAAGCCACGGCUAAUUCCGUGCCAGCAGCCGCGGUAAUACGGGAGUGGCAAGCGUUAUCCGGAAUUAUUGGGCGUAAAGCGUCCGCAGGCGGCCCUUCAAGUCUGCUGUUAAAAAGUGGAGCUUAACUCCAUCAAGGCAGUGGAAACUGUUGGGCUUGAGUGUGGUAGGGGCAGAGGGAAUUCCCGGUGUAGCGGUGAAAUGCGUAGAUAUCGGGAAGAACACCAGUGGCGAAGGCGCUCUGCUGGGCCAUAACUGACGCUCAUGGACGAAAGCCAGGGGAGCGAAAGGGAUUAGAUACCCCUGUAGUCCUGGCCGUAAACGAUGAACACUAGGUGUCGGGGGAAUCGACCCCUUCGGUGUCGUAGCCAACGCGUUAAGUGUUCCGCCUGGGGAGUACGCACGCAAGUGUGAAACUCAAAGGAAUUGACGGGGGCCCGCACAAGCGGUGGAGUAUGUGGUUUAAUUCGAUGCAACGCGAAGAACCUUACCAGGGUUUGACAUCCUGCGAACCUCUAAGAAAUUAGAGGGUGCCUUCGGGAAUGCAGUGACAGGUGGUGCAUGGCUGUCGUCAGCUCGUGUCGUGAGAUGUUGGGUUAAGUCCCGCAACGAGCGCAACCCACGUUUUUAGUUGCCAGCAUUUAGUUGGGCACUCUAGAAAGACCGCCGGUGAUAAACCGGAGGAAGGUGUGGAUGACGUCAAGUCAUCAUGCCCCUUACAUCCUGGGCUACACACGUACUACAAUGCUACGGACAAAGGGCAGCUAACUCGCGAGAGCAAGCAAAUCCCAUAAACCGUGGCUCAGUUCAGAUCGUAGGCUGCAACUCGCCUACGUGAAGCAGGAAUCGCUAGUAAUCGCAGGUCAGCAUACUGCGGUGAAUACGUUCCCGGGCCUUGUACACACCGCCCGUCACACCAUGGAAGUUGGCCACGCCCGAAGUCGUUACUCUAACCCUUGUGGAGGAGGACGCCGAAGGUGGGGCUAAUGACUGGGGUGAAGUCGUAACAAGGUAGCCGUACCGGAAGGUGCGGCUG
Molecule: ribosomal RNA, 1465 nt
Filed under: Prochlorococcus sp. AG-402-N21
Lineage: Bacteria; Bacillati; Cyanobacteriota; Cyanophyceae; Synechococcales; Prochlorococcaceae
Description: bacterial SSU rRNA
Rfam family: Bacterial small subunit ribosomal RNA
Source: RNAcentral